AUUGAACGCUGGCGGCAGGCCUAACACAUGCAAGUCGAACGAGUGGCGGACGGGUGAGUAAUGUCUGGGAAACUGCCCGAUGGAGGGGGAUAACUACUGGAAACGGUAGCUAAUACCGCAUACCAUCGGAUGUGCCCAGAUGGGAUUAGCUAGUAGGUGGGGUAACGGCGCACCUAGGCCACGAUCCCUAGCUGGUCUGAGAGGAUGACGAGACACACUGGAACUAGGACACGGGCCAGACUCAUACGGGGGGCAGCAGUGGGGAGUAUUGGACAAUGGGCGCAAGCCGGAUGCAGCCAGGCCGCGUGUAUGAAGAAGGCCUUAGGGUUGGAAAGUACUUUCAGCGAGGAGGCGUUACUCGCAGAAGAAGCACCGGCUAACUCCGUGCCAGCAGCCGCGGUAAUAC
This 406-nucleotide ribosomal RNA is filed under the name uncultured bacterium. RNAcentral describes it as "partial 16S ribosomal RNA". It matches the Rfam family "Bacterial small subunit ribosomal RNA", at positions 29 to 526 of the family's 1533-position model. The record is from RNAcentral.